Molecule: ribosomal RNA, 377 nt
Filed under: uncultured organism
Description: partial 16S ribosomal RNA
Rfam family: Bacterial small subunit ribosomal RNA
Source: RNAcentral
GUAGGUGGCAAGCGUUGUCCGGGAAUUAUUGGGGCGUAAAGCGCGCGCAGGCGGUUCUUUAAGUCUGAUGUGAAAGCCCACGGGCUCAACCGUGGGAGGGUCAUUGGAAACUGGAGAACUUGAGUACAGAAGAGGAAAGCGGAAUUCCACGUGUAGCGGUGAAAUGCGUAGAGAUGUGGAGGAACACCAGUGGCGAAGGCGGCUUUCUGGUCUGUAACUGACGCUGAGGCGCGAAUGCGUGGGGAGCAAACAGGAUUAGAUACCCUGGUAGUCCACGCCGUAAACGAUGAGUGCUAAGUGUUAGGGGGUUUCCGCCCCUUAGCGCUGCAGCUAACGCAUUAAGCACUCCGCCUGGGGAGUACGGCCGCAAAGGCUGA